RNAcentral lists this ribosomal RNA (423 nucleotides) under uncultured bacterium. Its description in RNAcentral is "partial 16S ribosomal RNA". It matches the Rfam family "Bacterial small subunit ribosomal RNA", at positions 360 to 775 of the family's 1533-position model. The record is from RNAcentral.
AAUUUUGGAAAAUGGGGGAAACCCUGACCCAGCCAUCCCGCGUGAAUGAGGAAGGCCUUCGGGUUGUAAAGUACUUUUGGCAGAGAAGAAAAGGUAUCUCCUAAUACGAGAUACUGUUGCCGGUAACUGAAGAAUAAGCACCGGCUAACUACGUGCCAGCAGCCGCGGUAAUACGUAGGGUGCAAGCGUUAAUCGGACUUAUUGGGUGUAAAGCGUGUGUAGGCGGUUCGUAAAGAAAGAUGUGAAAUCUCCGGGCUUAACCUUGGAACUGGAAUUUUAACUGCUGAGCUAGAGUAUGUUAGAGGGGGGUAGAAUUCCACGUGUAGCAGUGAAAUGCGUAGAUAUGUGGAGGAAUACCGAUGGUGAAGGCAGCCCCCUGGGAUAAUACUGACGCUCAGACACGAAAGCGUGGGGAGCAAACAG